GGAUUAGAAUGAGAGAAUUUAAGAAUUCAUCAUUUUUUUAAAAUUGAAUGUUUUGAAUCGUUGUGUAAUUCUGACAUAAGAUUGUAGAGACUCAAAAAUGUAUAGUAUACAUAUUUACAAGAGAGUUGUCUCAUUGCACUUAUACCACAUCUUCUUAUAUCUAUUUUCCUGAAAUGUAAGGUCACCAUCAACAGCCAAGUAAAGCUUAAAUGAUUCACGCCAUUAUUCCGACAUCCCAUUAGUCCGACAGCUCAUUAGUCCGACAGCCCAUGUGUCCGACAACCCAUUAGUCCGACA
RNAcentral lists this long non-coding RNA (297 nucleotides) under Mytilus galloprovincialis (Mediterranean mussel). The record is from RNAcentral. Lineage: Eukaryota; Metazoa; Mollusca; Bivalvia; Mytilida; Mytilidae.